UACGUAGGGUGCGAGCGUUAAUCGGAAUUACUGGGCGUAAAGCGUGCGCAGGCGGUUCGCCAAGUCAGGUGUGAAAUCCCCGGGCUUAACCUGGGAAUUGCGCUUGAAACUAGCGGGCUUGAGUGUGGCAGAGGGGGGUGGAAUUCCACGUGUAGCAGUGAAAUGCGUAGAGAUGUGGAGGAACACCGAUGGCGAAGGCAGCCCCCUGGGUCAACACUGACGCUCAGGCACGAAAGCGUGGGGAGCAAACAGG
This 253-nucleotide ribosomal RNA is filed under the name uncultured bacterium. RNAcentral's name for it is "partial 16S ribosomal RNA". It matches the Rfam family "Bacterial small subunit ribosomal RNA", at positions 524 to 776 of the family's 1533-position model. The record is from RNAcentral.